RNAcentral lists this ribosomal RNA (301 nucleotides) under uncultured bacterium. Its description in RNAcentral is "partial 16S ribosomal RNA". It matches the Rfam family "Bacterial small subunit ribosomal RNA", at positions 509 to 807 of the family's 1533-position model. The record is from RNAcentral.
CAGUAGCCGCGGUAAUACGAAGGGGGCUAGCGUUGUUCGGAUUUACUGGGCGUAAAGGGUGCGUAGGCGGAUUGUUAAGUCAGGGGUGAAAUCCCGAGGCUCAACCUCGGAACUGCCUUUGAUACUGGCGAUCUUGAGUCCGGGAGAGGUGAGUGGAACUGCGAGUGUAGAGGUGAAAUUCGUAGAUAUUGGGAAGAACACCGGUGGCGAAGGCGGCAACCUGGCUCAUUACUGACGCUGAGGCGCGAAAGCGUGGGGAGCAAACAGGAUUAGAUACCCGCGUAGUCCCUGUCUCUUAUAC